UAGCCAUACACAAAGUAUCCAAAUGCACUAUACAGCACCAGAGCACUCACUCAUGCUCCCUUAUACAUCCGACUCAACCUCUUAUGCUACAGAAUGAACUUCUAUUGGCCCAAAUUACUCAUCAAAGGUUGAUCAGGUCUGUUUUGCCUCUGCGUUCAACAUUUGCACCACUGAAGACUCUUUCACCGCAAUAUCGACCCUUAUCUCAAUCGAGUAUUUUUGCCUUUGGUGAUGCACGUGGUCCCUCGUUUUGCCAUAUCAUUGUGCUACAUUAUUUAGAAUAUGAUAGUAUCUACACUUCAAAAAUCCAUAAAAAAUAAAUCUCUCGAAAAUUAUAUACUUAACUGAUGGUGUAUACAUGGUCAUAAUUCAAUAGGUUAAAAUAAAACUUGGCCACGAAUCGUCUGAAUGGAAUGCAUUUACUAGGAAAGCGGCUGUUCAGUCAAAAAAAGAUCUCAAUGGAGCAUAGAAGGCUUUAUUUAAAAGAUCAGGGAAUAAAAACCUUUAUAGAUGAGAGGGAGUUCCGACUAUUAGAUUAGGAAUCGUGCAGCAAAACGGGAAGUGUCGCUUCACGAUCUUCAUUCCGUAUAAUUCUAAAUUUCUAACAAUAUUCUCUGCUACUGUAAACUGAUAAUUACUGUUAGCUGAAGAAGCAAAGUAAAU
RNAcentral lists this long non-coding RNA (663 nucleotides) under Olea europaea subsp. europaea. Lineage: Eukaryota; Viridiplantae; Streptophyta; Magnoliopsida; Lamiales; Oleaceae. The record is from RNAcentral.